RNAcentral lists this long non-coding RNA (245 nucleotides) under Mytilus galloprovincialis (Mediterranean mussel). Lineage: Eukaryota; Metazoa; Mollusca; Bivalvia; Mytilida; Mytilidae. The record is from RNAcentral.
AUUUGUUAUCAUAUUUCCUUGACCACUGUGAAAAUACUUUUAGUCCUUGGGUACCAAUUUUCAUGGUUUUCGUGGAUGACUUUAUCCACGAAUUUAAGUGUCCAACGAAAUACAAUAACCAUUGUCCAAAUCAAGACAUGGAAAGAUCCCCGUCGGUAGGUUUGACUACUGAUAUAAUCUUGAGAAUAUAUUGAAUAAUGCCAAAUCUGAGAAUACUUUAAUAGCAGUCACAUAACUACAACCAC